UCAAACUUGGUCAUUUAGAGGAAGUAAAAGUCGUAACAAGGUUUCCGUAGGUGAACCUGCGGAAGGAUCAUUAAUGAUUGGCCCCAACGGGCCUCAUCAGUAUUAAUCCCGACACCACUGUGAACUGUUUUCGGCCCCUGUGGGCUGAUCUUUUUUUACAACGCCAAACAUUGUGUAACGAACGUCUUCUUACCUUAACGAAACAAAAACUUUCAACAACGGAUCUCUUGGCUCUCGCAUCGAUGAAGAACGCAGC
This 256-nucleotide unclassified non-coding RNA is filed under the name uncultured fungus. Its description in RNAcentral is "partial contains small subunit ribosomal RNA, internal transcribed spacer 1, and 5.8S ribosomal RNA". The stretch from base 1 to 73 matches the Rfam family "Eukaryotic small subunit ribosomal RNA", at positions 1759 to 1831 of the family's 1831-position model. The record is from RNAcentral. Lineage: Eukaryota; Fungi.